Molecule: ribosomal RNA, 491 nt
Filed under: uncultured bacterium
Lineage: Bacteria
Description: partial 16S ribosomal RNA
Rfam family: Bacterial small subunit ribosomal RNA
Source: RNAcentral
AUUGAACGCUGGCGGCAUGCUUUACACAUGCAAGUCGAACGGUAACAGGCCUUCGGGUGCUGACGAGUGGCGAACGGGUGAGUAAUGCAUCGGAACGUACCCAGAGGUGGGGGAUAACGCAGCGAAAGCUGUGCUAAUACCGCAUGUGAUCUGAGGAUGAAAGCGGGGGACCGAGCAGCAAUGUUUGGCCUCGCGCCUUUGGAGCGGCCGAUGUCGGAUUAGCUAGUUGGUGGGGUAAAGGCCUACCAAGGCGACGAUCCGUAGCUGGUCUGAGAGGACGACAGGCCACACGGGGAGUGAGCCAGGCCCCAGACUCCUACGGGAGGAAGAAGUGGGGAAUUUUGGACAAUGGGCGCAAGCCUGAUCCAGAAAGCCCGCGUGCGGAAAGAAGGCUUUCGGGUUGUAAACCGCUUUUGGAAGGAAGAAAACGGUGUCCGCUAAAACCGGGCGCUAAUGACGGUACCUGCAGAAUAGCACCGGCUAACUACGUG